GUAGUUAGCCGGUGCUUCUUCUGUGAGUGAUGUCCUUCCUGCCGGCUAUUAACCCGCAGGCCUUCUUCCUCACUGAAAGUGCUUUACAACCCGAAGGCCUUCUUCACACACGCGGCAUGGCUGGAUCAGGGUUGCCCCCAUUGUCCAAUAUUCCCCACUGCUGCCUCCCGUAGGAGUCUGGGCCGUGUCUCAGUCCCAGUGUGGCUGAUCAUCCUCUCAGACCAGCUACGGAUCGUCGCCUUGGUGAGCCGUUACCUCACCAACCAGCUAAUCCGACAUAGGCUCAUCCGAUAGCGCGAGGCCCGAAGGUCCCCCGCUUUCCCCCGUAGGGCGUAUGCGGUAUUAGCCUGGGUUUCCCCAGGUUAUCCCCCACUACCGGGCAGAUUCCUAUGCAUUACUCACCCGUCCGCCGCUCGCCACCAGGGAGCAAGCUCCCCGUGCUGCCGCUCGACUUGCAUGUGUUAGGCCUGCCGCCAGCGUUCAAUCUGAGCCAUAAUCAAACUACUGA
This 508-nucleotide ribosomal RNA is filed under the name uncultured bacterium. RNAcentral's name for it is "partial 16S ribosomal RNA". The record is from RNAcentral.